RNAcentral lists this unclassified non-coding RNA (338 nucleotides) under soil metagenome. RNAcentral describes it as "partial contains 5.8S ribosomal RNA, internal transcribed spacer 2, and large subunit ribosomal RNA". The stretch from base 1 to 120 matches the Rfam family "5.8S ribosomal RNA", at positions 35 to 154 of the family's 154-position model. The record is from RNAcentral.
GAUGAAGAACGUAGUGAAAUGCGAUAAGUAGUGUGAAUUGCAGAAUUCAGUGAAUCAUCGAAUCUUUGAACGCACAUUGCGCCCGGUAGUAUUCUGCCGGGCAUGCCUGUUCGAGCGUCAUUUCAACCAUCAAGCCCCAGCGCUUGUGUUGGGGGCCUGCGGCUGCCGCAGCCCCCUAAAAGCAGUGGCGGGCUCGCUAUCACACCGAGUGCAGUAGUUCAUCUUCUCUCCGGUCUUGUGAGGCGGGUUCCGGCCGUGAAACACCCCACUACAUUCAAGGUUGACCUCGGAUCAGGUAGGAAUACCCGCUGAACUUAAGCAUAUCAAUAAGCGGAGGA